GAUGAACGCUGGCGGCGUGCCUAAUACAUGCAAGUCGAGCGAACAGACGAGGAGCUUGCUCCUCUGACGUUAGCGGCGGACGGGUGAGUAACACGUGGAUAACCUACCUAUAAGACUGGGAUAACUUCGGGAAACCGGAGCUAAUACCGGAUAAUAUAUUGAACCGCAUGGCUCAAUAGUGAAAGACGGUUUUGCUGUCACUUAUAGAUGGAUCCGCGCCGCAUUAGCUAGUUGGUAAGGUAACGGCUUACCAAGGCGACGAUGCGUAGCCGACCUGAGAGGGUGAUCGGCCACACUGGAACUGAGGCACGGUCCAGACUCCUACGGGAGGCAGCAGUAGGGAAUCUUCCGCAAUGGGCGAAAGCCUGACGGAGCAACGCCGCGUGAGUGAUGAAGGUCUUCGGAUCGUAAAACUCUGUUAUUAGGGAAGAACAAAUGUGUAAGUAACUAUGCACGUCUUGACGGUACCUAAUCAGAAAGCCACGGCUAACUACGUG
RNAcentral lists this ribosomal RNA (497 nucleotides) under uncultured bacterium. RNAcentral's name for it is "partial 16S ribosomal RNA". It matches the Rfam family "Bacterial small subunit ribosomal RNA", at positions 28 to 507 of the family's 1533-position model. The record is from RNAcentral.